GACGAACGCUGGCGGCGUGCUUAACACAUGCAAGUCGUACGGUAAGGCCCUUUCGGGGGUACACGAGUGGCGAACGGGUGAGUAACACGUGAGUAACCUGCCCACAACUUUGGGAUAACGCUAGGAAACUGGGGCUAAUACUGGAUAUGUGCUCCUGCUGCAUGGUGGGGGUUGGAAAGCUCCGGCGGUUGUGGAUGGACUCGCGGCCUAUCAGCUUGUUGGUGGGGUAGUGGCCUACCAAGGCGGCGACGGGUAGCCGGCCUGAGAGGGUGACCGGCCACAUUGGGACUGAGAGACGGCCCAGACUCCUACGGGAGGCAGCAGUGGGGAAUAUUGCACAAUGGGCGCAAGCCUGAUGCAGCAACGCCGCGGGCGGGAUGACGGCCUUCGGGUUGUAAACCGCUUUCAGCAGGGACGAAGCUUUUUGUGACGGUACCUGCAGAAGAAGCACCGGCUAACUACGUG
Molecule: ribosomal RNA, 465 nt
Filed under: uncultured bacterium
Lineage: Bacteria
Description: partial 16S ribosomal RNA
Rfam family: Bacterial small subunit ribosomal RNA
Source: RNAcentral